This 253-nucleotide ribosomal RNA is filed under the name uncultured bacterium. Its description in RNAcentral is "partial 16S ribosomal RNA". It matches the Rfam family "Bacterial small subunit ribosomal RNA", at positions 524 to 776 of the family's 1533-position model. The record is from RNAcentral.
UACGGAGGGUGCGAGCGUUGUCCGGAAUCACUGGGCGUAAAGGGCGCGUAGGCGGCUUCUUAAGCGGGCGGUGAAAGCCCGGGGCUCAACCCCGGGUCGGCCGUGCGAACUGGGGAGCUCGAGCACUGUAGAGGCAGGUGGAAUUCCGGGUGUAGCGGUGGAAUGCGUAGAGAUCCGGAAGAACACCGGUGGCGAAGGCGGAUCUCUGGGCCUUACCUGACGCUCAGGUGCGAAAGCUAGGGGAGCGAACAGG